UAUAAACAUGAGACCAAUGAUGUUUGAUCUUGUUUGAUGUUAAUUUGAUGUUGGAUGGUGGAUACCUUGCUGUUUUAACCUUUUUCUUGCUUUUGGACCCUAGGCUUGGCCUAGUGGUCUAGUUGCUAAUAUUUGCUUGGUUUUUCAGGAUCAAAAGCAUAAGGCACAUGGAGAAUGAUGCAAAUCAAUUUUAAUUGAUGUUGUUGAUGUUUGUAUAUUAACAUAGCAUUGUUUUGUAGGUGUUGAAGCUUGGGCUUAAGCCUUGAGCUUGCCUUGUGUUGUGCAUAGUUUGUUUAAACUGGUUA
RNAcentral lists this long non-coding RNA (305 nucleotides) under Lathyrus oleraceus (garden pea). RNAcentral describes it as "Pisum sativum (pea) long non-coding RNA (PSAT_LNC029052)". Lineage: Eukaryota; Viridiplantae; Streptophyta; Magnoliopsida; Fabales; Fabaceae. The record is from RNAcentral.